Acanthosepion pharaonis is the source of this 106-nucleotide non-coding RNA. NCBI's taxonomy places the organism in Eukaryota, Metazoa, Mollusca, Cephalopoda, Sepiida, Sepiidae. The record is from the annotation of a GenBank genome assembly.
CAUAUCACUUUGAAGCACCGGUGCCCGUACGACCACUGAAGUUAAGCAAUCUAGAGCGUGGUUAGUACCUAGAUUAGUUACCGCUUGGAAAUGCAGGGUUCUGCAA